GAGAGAAAGGUGGGAAUCCUUUCGGCCGAAUAUCUAAGGUUUCCAGAGUAAAGCUGAUCUGCUCUGGGUAAGUCGGGGCCUAAGCACAGGUCGCAAGACGUAAGCGAUGGAUAACAGGUUUAGAUUCCUGUACCACGCAUUAUCAGAACUGUAGGGACGCAUGUGGAAAGCACGGGCCGGGAAUGGAAAGACCGGUACAAGCGGGGUAGGUGUACAAUAGGCAAAUCCGUUGUAUAAUCCGAAGACGUGAUGUGGAGCGAAAUAAAGUAGUGAAGCGUGUGAGCCAUGUGCCGAGAAAAGCUGCUAUUGUGUAAUGCGUGCCCGUACCGUAAACCGACACAGGUGGAUGAGGAGAGAAUCCUAAGGCCGGCGGAAGAAGCAUUGUUAAGGAAUUCGGCAAAAUGACCCCGUAACUUCGGGAGAAGGGGUGCCUGCGAGAGCAGGCCGCAGAGAAUAGGCUCAAGCAACUGUUUAGCAAAAACACAGGUCUAUGCGAAUCCGAAAGGUGAAGUAUAUGGGCUGACGCCUGCCCGGUGCUGGAAGGUUAAGAGGAGAGGUUAGCUUCGGCGAAGCUUUGAAUUUAAGCCCCAGUAAACGGCGGCCGUAACAAUAACGGUCCUAAGGUAGCGAAAUUCCUUGUCGGGUAAGUUCCGACCCGCACGAAAGGCGUAAUGAUUUGAGCACUGUCUCGACAAUGCAUCCGGUGAAAUUGAAGUACCAGUGAAGAUGCUGGUUACCCGCGCCAGGACGGAAAGACCCCAUGGAGCUUUACUCCAGUUUGAUACUGGGAUUCGGUACUGCAUGUACAGGAUAGGUGGGAGACGAAGAAGGAUGGACGCCAGUCUGUCCGGAGUCGCUGUUGGGAUACCACCCCUGUAGUACUGGGUUUCUAACCAGUGGCCAUGAACUGGCAAUGGGACAAUGUCAGGCGGGGAGUUUGACUGGGGCGGUCGCCUCCGAAAGGGUAUCGGAGGCGCUCAAAGGUUCCCUCAGAAUGGUUGGAAACCAUUUGAAGAGUGCAAAGGCAGAAGGGAGCUUGACUGCGACACCGACGGGUGGAGCAGGUACGAAAGUAGGACUUAGUGAUCCGGUGGUAUAAAGUGGGAUUGCCAUCGCUCAACGGAUAAAAGCUACCCUGGGAUAACAGGCUUAUCACUCCCAAGAGUUCACAUCGACGGAGUGGUUUGGCACCUCGAUGUCGGCUCAUCGCAUCCUGGGGCUGUAGCAGGUCCCAAGGGUUGGGCUGUUCGCCCAUUAAAGCGGUACGCGAGCUGGGUUCAGAACGUCGUGAGACAGUUCGGUCCCUAUCCGGCGCGGGCGGAGGAUAUUUGAGAGGAGCUGUCCUUAGUACGAGAGGACCGGGAUGGACGGACCACUGGUGUAUCUGUUGUCGACCAACGGCAUGGCAGAGUAGCCAAGUCUGGAAGGGAUAAACGCUGAAGGCAUCUAAGCGUGAAGCCCCCCUCAAGAUGAGAUAUCCCUCCUUCGGGAGUAAGACCCCUUGAAGACUACAAGGUAGAUAGGGCAGAGGUGGAAGCAUGGCAACAUGUGGAGCUGACUGUUACUAAUAGGUCGAGGGCUUAAUAA
RNAcentral lists this ribosomal RNA (1587 nucleotides) under metagenome. Its description in RNAcentral is "bacterial LSU rRNA". It matches the Rfam family "Bacterial large subunit ribosomal RNA", at positions 1311 to 2925 of the family's 2925-position model. The record is from RNAcentral.